This is a long non-coding RNA of Pyrgilauda ruficollis (rufous-necked snowfinch), 3889 nucleotides long. RefSeq lists it as uncharacterized. The record is from RefSeq and is a predicted model, not a curated record. The transcript is spliced from 7 exons. NCBI's taxonomy places the organism in Eukaryota, Metazoa, Chordata, Aves, Passeriformes, Passeridae.
UGCCAGGGAAGGAAUUAACACACUAUUAGGCACAGACAAUAUUGGUAGAUUGGUAAGUAGGAGCACCUACUUGAACCAAAGAGGGGAGGCAUGAAGAAUUACCUGGUUUUGAAUAGAUUGACUUUGUUUUCUGCUUCUCUAGUGGCUUCAUUUUCCAGGUGAUGCUGGCACUUCAUCCAAUUCCCACAUAUAAGCACUACUGAAUAACCAAAAAAGUCAUAUUCAUCUGCCAUUGUUUGCUUUUUGUAAAACUUAUUGUAUACCUAGAUAUAAUGAAAGAGCAGAAUGCAUUUCAAUUUUUUUUUUGUUUUGUUUUGUUUUCUCACAUAUUUAGACAACCAAAGCAAUUACUGAAAAUUUUCCGGUUAGUGACAGCUGUAUUUGACCCUAACGUCAGAAGUCUAGUUGGAAAAGAGUGAAAUGGCAAGCAACAAAAGUCUCCAAUAUCAGCAGAAUUUCCCAAGGACAAAAGCCAAGGAUCAGGAGGAAGGAUCUGUCAAGGGAAGUCGUGACCACAGUAGGAAAUCAGUGGGUUUUGCUGAGAUGAAUCCAAUUUGCAAACAGAAGCAAACUGGAAAAUGCAGGCCUUAUUUCAUCUUUGCCCAAAUUGGUGUUUGAACUUCUGCAAAGCAGUCACGAGGUCUUGUGUUCCCAUGUGCGGGUUUUGUGUCUUCAGUUCUCAGAAAACUGCAACAGGAAUGGGAAAUACUUGUCUCCACUUCAAUGCAAAUGCCAAACUGAGGGUGACAAGGCUUGUCCAGUCUCCUAAUGUUUAACUGGUGCAGCUGAGAAGAAAAUGGAGCUGUCCUGUUCUGACCCCAAACCUGCUCCAUGCCACACAGCUGGGACCAGAAGAUUGUUUCUCUGUGCUUUUCCUAUUCCCUGAAAAGAAAAAAGUCCUGGAAUACCAACAAAGCCUGGCUCAAAGACAGCACGUGUGGUCACUUGUAAGCCUCUCAGGAAGGACUGGAUAAGAGGUAACAAGCACUAGCUUUUCCUUGAUUCUCCUGAGAUGGAUGAUUUAAUUACAGAAGCAAAUGGGUUUAAGUCUUUUAUGGCUUCCAUUACCACAGGAGAGAAAUGCCUUCUCUGUGCAUAACUUAUCCACAUAAACUUGCCCCUCUAGUUGGGAAACAACAAAUGGAAUCAAGAUGAAAAGAUAAUCCUAAAAUCUUCAUCUGUCUUGCAGCUGAAAAAGCGCUAUCAGAAGGUCAUGGACUGUAUAUGACUGAUGUUUCUGCAAGCUUUGAGAAAUCCAUCAGUGUUGCAUUGGAUUCAUCAUCUUUCCUGACAUAAAAAUUGAUAAAUAGGAUGUGCUUCAUAGUUAAUUCCUAUCCUUUCUAUACAGGCCAUACACAUAAAAGAAAAAGCCCUGUGAUUGUGAAGGAACUUAUGAUAGAGCAUGCAUUCAAGAUUAUACAUGCAUAUGAAAAUCAUCUGAAAAUUUGCUUUCAUAGUCUGUCUGAUCAACUGAGGAGGAAGAGAUGCUGUGUCUAGACAUGCAAAGAUGCAUAUCAGUUAUGCUACAAUAAUUUUUAAGGCAAGGUACACAGCCACUUGACAGAUGGUAAUUCCUUCUUUAGAGCUUCCUGUUUUUCUCCCUGACUCUCGAGUUGUUAUGAUAAACUUGGCACAGCUUUGUUGCUUGGAAGGAAGCUCUGUGACAGAGGAGCAUGUGUGUUGUACAAGUAUGUACACAUGCCUCAAAUCAUUAUUGUAUAACACAUCCUCUGGCACUGCUGCAUCUAUUUGCAGAAUAGAUGGAUGGCUGAGCUUUUUGAACUUGAAUAAAUCAUCUCUGAACAAAAUAUCUGAGUCCCUACUGCUGGAACAUCCUCUGAUAUGUGUUUCUAAACCAAGUAAGAAGCCCAAGAAGAGAUGCAAAGCAAAAAGAGAUGAUCACAAGGAAGAGAAGGCUGAACAGCAUGGUAAAUAUAAAUAUAAGUACCUCGUAUUUAAGUGCAAGAACAUCUCACAUUUCUAAAAUUCUGGCAACUUUGAAUCAUCAGAGAGCAUCAAGGCAAGUAGUCCUAAACUAUGUCUUUCACUUCAGCCAUAUGAUGAAGAUUUUUUUAACGCUGUCUCCUCUCUCUUUUCCUAAAGAGCUCUAAAUUUGCAUGAAAAAUAGGGGAAUAGAAAACUUCAAGGAUUAUUAGUAAAAUGUGAUGGUGGUGUGGGUUUCUGUAACUGUGCCUUGGGUUAAUAAAGGACAAAUAAGUGAGUUACAGAAACUGUGCCUUGUUUUUCUGUCUUAAGGAUAAUGUGAACUACUGAUUCCAAAAAUGUAUUGUGAGGCCUCAUAAGUAUUGACUUUUAGAGGAAUAUAAUUAAUUCUUCUCAAUUAAGCUUGUAUUGGCUAAAAGCUAGGUGUUGAUUUUUAGUCAUUAUUGACAGAACAUUUUAUUGAAGGCAUUUUUUAUAUCAUGUGGUAAAAUGCUGAGAUUUGUAAUUAACACAUUGUAGGUUCCAAAGUGAUAAGUUUCUUACAGGACUUUAAAUUACUGUUACGUAUUGCUCAUUCUACUUUCUGCAUGUAGAACCUUCUGGCAGUUCAUCAAAAGUAGCAGAAAAUUUCAAUUAAAAGUGUCCUCUUGGAUUUUGUGCAUACCACAUAUGAAACAAAAUACCUUCUUGUAGUUUAAUGACCUCAUGUGGGAGAAAUCUUGAAUGAAAUAUUUGGUAUUUUUAUUUGGGUUUUCUUUUACAAGGGGGACAAUCUGCAGCUGACUUAAUGCCUGGUAGUUGGUUUCAUUGGGCACUUUAAGGUAUAUCUGCCAGCUGAGAGCAGAUAGCCCUCCUGCACUGGCCUGGGAGAGGAACCAGUUUCAGCAGCAUUGUGCCACACAUGCUGCCACAAAUGAAGUCAAAGGUGCUAGCAACCAUGGUGUUCCACUUAACUGUCCUGAAAAUGAUACUGGAAAUGAUGAUCCUCACCAUGGAAGUGAACAGCCUGCAUUCUAAGGUCUGCACCUGCUUUUACUCAGUUCAGCAGCAGCUCUAAAGUCAAUGCUAACAGUAUAUUUGCAGUGUAACAGAGUGAGCACACUUUUAUCCACCUCCCCACCCUUCCCCUGCACCCUUUUUUUUUAACAGCAAUUAAUUUCAGCAAUUACUCUUCCUCCUUUCUGGUUUAUUGCCUGGGUACCACUAAGGCCAGUGUUGUGACUGUAGUAUCAAUUUUAGUGGAGGUUUACUGCCCAGCUCCCUCAAACCCCACUAACUGCUGACACGGGCAGUACUAAGGGAGCAGGAAUGAUGCAGGAGGUACAAGGCAGGAGAAAGUUUAAGGCCAGAGCUGCUGAAAGGAGCAUUUGUGAAGCCCUCUGAGGAUGCCAACUCCCAGCAAGGAGAACUGACUCACAAGCAGGCUACAAAUGUGCAGCCUCUGUGCAGGCUGAGCAUCCUUUUCAGCGAGUUGGUGUUCCUGUGACAGCGACAGGCGUGCCCCCAUCCAGCCCACACUCAGAGAGGAUCAGCUGGGACCUGGAGGCUUCACAAGUGCAUGAAUUCAGGGCUGGCCCUGCCAUAAACUGGAUGAGAGAGGCUGCAUUUCAAUUUGGAUUGAACUCCACACCACUGUGGCUUCCAAACUAGAGCUGGCUCACUUCUUGUUGAUUUGGAGGACAAGACACUGGAAUGAGAACCCGUGGGGAAAUAUGUUCUGCUGACUGAUGUCCCUGGGAAGGGUAAAGUGGGGUAACCUCAUGCAGUGUGUAAAGGUACAAAGCCAUUAAAAAAACUAAAUUAUGUCUUCAACGAAAAGUAGAAGAGAAAAUUAUUUUUCUUUUGUCAUUUUUCAUACCGUCCAGCAUGUUGUAUAUCAUUGUAUACCAUCCAGUUGUAACUGAGAGAAUAUUUAUUUUUGCCCUUGUAUGAAGUAAAAAAGGGU